Molecule: ribosomal RNA, 2924 nt
Filed under: Lelliottia nimipressuralis
Lineage: Bacteria; Pseudomonadati; Pseudomonadota; Gammaproteobacteria; Enterobacterales; Enterobacteriaceae
Also listed under: 1 other name
Description: bacterial LSU rRNA
Rfam family: Bacterial large subunit ribosomal RNA
Source: RNAcentral
GGGUUGUGAGGUUAAGCGACUAAGCGUACACGGUGGAUGCCCUGGCAGUCAGAGGCGAUGAAGGACGUGCUAAUCUGCGAAAAGCGCCGGCGAGGUGAUAUGAACCUUUGACCCGGCGAUGUCCGAAUGGGGAAACCCAGUGUGAUUCGUCACACUAUCGUUAACUGAAUACAUAGGUUAACGAGGCGAACCGGGGGAACUGAAACAUCUAAGUACCCCGAGGAAAAGAAAUCAACCGAGAUUCCCCCAGUAGCGGCGAGCGAACGGGGAGCAGCCCAGAGUCUGAAUCAGCUUGUGUGUUAGUGGAAGCGUCUGGAAAGUCGCACGGUACAGGGUGACAGUCCCGUACACGAAAGCACACAGGUUGUGAACUCGAAGAGUAGGGCGGGACACGUGGUAUCCUGUCUGAAUAUGGGGGGACCAUCCUCCAAGGCUAAAUACUCCUGACUGACCGAUAGUGAACCAGUACCGUGAGGGAAAGGCGAAAAGAACCCCGGCGAGGGGAGUGAAAUAGAACCUGAAACCGUGUACGUACAAGCAGUGGGAGCACCUUCGUGGUGUGACUGCGUACCUUUUGUAUAAUGGGUCAGCGACUUAUAUUCUGUAGCAAGGUUAACCGUAUAGGGGAGCCGAAGGGAAACCGAGUCUUAACUGGGCGUUAAGUUGCAGGGUAUAGACCCGAAACCCGGUGAUCUAGCCAUGGGCAGGUUGAAGGUUGGGUAACACUAACUGGAGGACCGAACCGACUAAUGUUGAAAAAUUAGCGGAUGACUUGUGGCUGGGGGUGAAAGGCCAAUCAAACCGGGAGAUAGCUGGUUCUCCCCGAAAGCUAUUUAGGUAGCGCCUCGUGAACUCAUCUUCGGGGGUAGAGCACUGUUUCGGCUAGGGGGCCAUCCCGGCUUACCAACCCGAUGCAAACUACGAAUACCGAAGAAUGUUAUCACGGGAGACACACGGCGGGUGCUAACGUCCGUCGUGAAGAGGGAAACAACCCAGACCGCCAGCUAAGGUCCCAAAGUCAUUGUUAAGUGGGAAACGAUGUGGGAAGGCACAGACAGCCAGGAUGUUGGCUUAGAAGCAGCCAUCAUUUAAAGAAAGCGUAAUAGCUCACUGGUCGAGUCGGCCUGCGCGGAAGAUGUAACGGGGCUAAACCAUGCACCGAAGCUGCGGCAGCGACACUAUGUGUUGUUGGGUAGGGGAGCGUUCUGUAAGCCGUUGAAGGUGGCCUGUGAGGGUUGCUGGAGGUAUCAGAAGUGCGAAUGCUGACAUAAGUAACGAUAAAGCGGGUGAAAAGCCCGCUCGCCGGAAGACCAAGGGUUCCUGUCCAACGUUAAUCGGGGCAGGGUGAGUCGACCCCUAAGGCGAGGCCGAAAGGCGUAGUCGAUGGGAAACAGGUUAAUAUUCCUGUACUUGGUGUUACUGCGAAGGGGGGACGGAGAAGGCUAUGUUAGCCGGGCGACGGUUGUCCCGGUUUAAGCAUGUAGGCGGAACGAUUAGGUAAAUCCGGUCGUUUUUUAACGCUGAGGUGUGAUGACGAGGCACUACGGUGCUGAAGUAACAAAUGCCCUGCUUCCAGGAAAAGCCUCUAAGCAUCAGGUAACAUCAAAUCGUACCCCAAACCGACACAGGUGGUCAGGUAGAGAAUACCAAGGCGCUUGAGAGAACUCGGGUGAAGGAACUAGGCAAAAUGGUGCCGUAACUUCGGGAGAAGGCACGCUGAUAUGUAGGUGAAGCCCCUGCGGGUGGAGCUGAAAUCAGUCGAAGAUACCAGCUGGCUGCAACUGUUUAUUAAAAACACAGCACUGUGCAAACACGAAAGUGGACGUAUACGGUGUGACGCCUGCCCGGUGCCGGAAGGUUAAUUGAUGGGGUUAGCGGUAACGCGAAGCUCUUGAUCGAAGCCCCGGUAAACGGCGGCCGUAACUAUAACGGUCCUAAGGUAGCGAAAUUCCUUGUCGGGUAAGUUCCGACCUGCACGAAUGGCGUAAUGAUGGCCAGGCUGUCUCCACCCGAGACUCAGUGAAAUUGAACUCGCUGUGAAGAUGCAGUGUACCCGCGGCAAGACGGAAAGACCCCGUGAACCUUUACUAUAGCUUGACACUGAACACUGGUCCUUGAUGUGUAGGAUAGGUGGGAGGCUUUGAAGCGUGGACGCCAGUCUGCGUGGAGCCGUCCUUGAAAUACCACCCUUUAAUGGCUGGUGUUCUAACGUAGACCGUAAUCGGGUUGCGGACAGUGUCUGGUGGUUAGUUUGACUGGGGCGGUCUCCUCCCAAAGAGUAACGGAGGAGCACGAAAGUUAGCUAAUCCUGGUCGGACAUCCAGGGAGGUUAGUGCAAUGGCAUAGAGCUAGCUUGACUGCGAGAGUGACGGCUCGAGCAGGUGCGAAAGCAGGUCAUAGUGAUCCGGUGGUUCUGAAUGGAAGGGCCAUCGCUCAACGGAUAAAAGGUACUCCGGGGGAUAACAGGCUGAUACCGCCCAAGAGUUCAUAUCGACGGCGGUGUUUGGCACCUCGAUGUCGGCUCAUCACAUCCUGGGGCUGAAGUAGGUCCAAGGGUAUGGCUGUUCGCCAUUUAAAGUGGUACGCGAGCUGGGUUUAGAACGUCGUGAGACAGUUCGGUCCCCUAUCUGCCGUGGCGCUGGAGAAUUGAGGGGGGCUGCUCUAGUACGAGAGGACCGAGUGGACGCAUCACUGGUGUUCGGGUUGUCAUGCCAAUGGCACUGCCCGGUAGCUAAAUGCGGAAAAGAUAAGUGCUGAAAGCAUCUAAGCACGAAACUUGCCCGAGAUGAGUUCUCCCUGAGACUUUAAGUCUCCUGAAGGAACGUUGAAGACGACGACGUUGAUAGGUCGGGUGUGUAAGCGCAGCGAUGCGUUGAGCUAACCGAUACUAAUGAACCGUGAGGCUUAACCUUACAACGCCGAAG